AACCUCUGCAAUAGGCGAAAGCUUGACAGGGUUACUCUGAGUGAUUUCCGUUAAGGAGAUCUUUUGGCACCUCUAAAAAUGGUGCAGAAUAAGGGGUGGGCAAGUCUGGUGUCAGCCGCCGCGGUAAUACCAGCACCCCGAGUGGUCGGGACGUUUAUUGGGCCUAAAGCAUCCGUAGCCGGUUCUACAAGUCUUCCGUUAAAUCCACCUGCUCAACAGAUGGGCUGCGGAAGAUACUAUGGAGCUAGGAGGCGGGAGAGGCAAGCGGUACUCGAUGGGUAGGGGUAAAAUCCGUUGAUCCAUUGAAGACCACCAGUGGCGAAGGCGGCUUGCCAGAACGCGCUCGACGGUGAGGGAUGAAAGCUGGGGGAGCAAACCGGAUUAGAUACCCGGGUAGUCCCAGCUGUAAACGAUGCAGACUCGGUGAUGAGUUGGCUUUAUGCCAACUCAGUGCCGCAGGGAAGCCGUUAAGUUUGCCGCCUGGGAGUACGGUCGCAAUGAAAGUCCC
Molecule: ribosomal RNA, 508 nt
Filed under: uncultured crenarchaeote
Lineage: Archaea; Thermoproteati; Thermoproteota
Description: SSU rRNA
Rfam family: Archaeal small subunit ribosomal RNA
Source: RNAcentral